CGGGAGCGGCAGGUGUGCCGCGUCCUCCGCCCUGCCUCUCCGCGGCUUGUGCUUCCCACUAACACGGACUUCACCGGGUCUUAGAAUUUUACGCCUUAAGCCCAUCUCCUGUUUUUCGCUCCCAGCCCCAAAAGUGAGCUUAAUGAAAAUGUAUUCACUCUGCCAGGAAAAAGGGUGGUGAAAUUGAAUUCAACCUUUGUCCAACUUUGCUGCGCAGCAGUGAGCUUGAGUAUGAAAGGGAGAAAACAUUGAAGGAAAGGAUAAAAACUGGGAAACGGGGUGUGCAGUCAAGAGUAUUUAGAUGUGAACAUCUGGGCAAGGAGGUGUGAGGAAGUGUGGACUUACCCUGGGUCAAGAAGAAAAAGCAAGCUGGAAAUAGAGCAAGAAGCAGAGAGAACAGAACGUGGAGAGGACACUAACAACAGAUAUGAUAUCAUCAAGGCUUCCUUCAGAGGUGCCAACAUGUUGUAUACUUGACCCUUCACCAGAGCAAUUAAGACAUGUUCGAGAUGAAGCUUGUAAGUAAAGUAUUUGUUUUGUUUAAUUACAUCUGGAAAAGAGCUCAAGUGUCUGAAAGCUCUGUCUAAAUAAAUUAUGCUUGUUUGUAAACUUUGCCUUGUUU
This is a long non-coding RNA of Cyanistes caeruleus (blue tit), 622 nucleotides long. Lineage: Eukaryota; Metazoa; Chordata; Aves; Passeriformes; Paridae. The record is from Ensembl.